This 510-nucleotide ribosomal RNA is filed under the name uncultured bacterium. RNAcentral describes it as "partial 16S ribosomal RNA". It matches the Rfam family "Bacterial small subunit ribosomal RNA", at positions 28 to 507 of the family's 1533-position model. The record is from RNAcentral.
GACGAACGCUGGCGGCGUGCUUAACACAUGCAAGUCGAACGAAGAGCGACGGAAGCUUGCUUCUAUCAAUCUUAGUGGCGAACGGGUGAGUAACGCGUAAUCAACCUGCCCUUCAGAGGGGGACAACAGUUGGAAACGACUGCUAAUACCGCAUACGAUCUAACCUCGGCAUCGAGGAUAGAUGAAAGGUGGCCUCUACAUGUAAGCUAUCACUGAAGGAGGGGAUUGCGUCUGAUUAGCUAGUUGGAGGGGUAACGGCCCACCAAGGCGAUGAUCAGUAGCCGGUCUGUGAGGAUGAACGGCCACAUUGGGACUGAGACACGGCCCAGACUCCUACGGGAGGCAGCAGUGGGGAAUCUUCCGCAAUGGACGAAAGUCUGACGGAGCAACGCCGCGUGAGUGAUGACGGCCUUCGGGUUGUAAAGCUCUGUUAAUCGGGACGAAAGGCCUUCUUGCGAAUAGUGAGAAGGAUUGACGGUACCGGAAUAGAAAGCCACGGCUAACUACGUG